UGAUUACGGUCUGCGCGAGGCUUGACCAAUUAUAUGUCUUUUCGCGUUUUAGUUUCAGAAUGGACCUGCUGGUCUGGUGGUUGUGUGAGUGUUAGUGAACCUCUAGGUUUUGGAUUCGAGUUCUUGUGUGUGUGUUUUUGAGAAAUAUUUUUGUUUUGCUUUUUUUUGUUAAAUAGUAGUUUUGUUUUUAAGUUAAUAUUUUUAUUUUUAUUUUCUUUAAACGUUCUCCUCUUUCUUUUUCUUUUGUUUUCUUUUUGUUUUUUCUUCUUUCCUUUUUUGAAAAGGCUAGUGUUGUGGUUUUUGAAGAGCUUGAUUUCCUUGUCAUCGAGUCAGGUACUGGACGUCUUUAAUUGCAAAUCAAGUGUGGGUUUGGAACCUUUUAAAUUUUUUAUAACGAAUUGUAGCUUGUUUCUGUGAAAUUGGAAAUUGUUGUGUGCUUAUGGAAUCGAUCUUUCGAAAGGGGAGAUUAUCGUGG
This 475-nucleotide long non-coding RNA is filed under the name Gossypium raimondii (Peruvian cotton). Its description in RNAcentral is "long non-coding RNA (GRAI_LNC005420)". Lineage: Eukaryota; Viridiplantae; Streptophyta; Magnoliopsida; Malvales; Malvaceae. The record is from RNAcentral.